This 440-nucleotide ribosomal RNA is filed under the name uncultured bacterium. Its description in RNAcentral is "partial 16S ribosomal RNA". It matches the Rfam family "Bacterial small subunit ribosomal RNA", at positions 338 to 795 of the family's 1533-position model. The record is from RNAcentral.
CCUACGGGAGGCAGCAGUGGGGGAUAUUGCACAAUGGGGGAAACCCUGAUGCAGCGACGCCGCGUGUGGGAAGACGGUCCUCUGGAUUGUAAACCACUGUCCCCAGGGACGAAAAUGACGGUACCUGGGGAGGAAGCUCCGGCGAACUACGUGCCAGCAGCCGCGGUAAUACGUAGGGAGCGAGCGUUGUCCGGAAUUACUGGGUGUAACGGGAGCGUAGGCGGGGAUGCAAGUUGGCUGUAAAAACUACCGGCUCAACUGGUAGCCGCACUCAAAACUGCAGCUCGUGAGUGAAGUAGAGGCAGGCGGAAUUCGUGGUGUAGCGGUGAAAUGCGUAGAUAUGAGGAGGAACACCAGUGGCGAAGGCGGCCUGCCGGGGUUCUACUGACGCUGAGGCUCGAAGGUGUGGGGAUCAAACAGGAUUAGAUACCCUAGUAGUC